GAUGAACGCUAGCGACAGGCUUAACACAUGCAAGUCGAGGGGUAGAAGGCUUCGGCCUUUGAGACCGGCGCACGGGUGCGAAACGCGUAUACAAUCUACCUAUUACAGGGGGAUAGCCCAGAGAAAUUUGGAUUAAUACCCCAUAGUAUUAUAGAGUGGCAUCAUUUUAUAAUUAAAGUUGAGGCGGUAAUAGAUGAGUAUGCGUCCUAUUAGCUAGUUGGUGAGGUAACGGCUCACCAAGGCUACGAUAGGUAGGGGUCCUGAGAGGGAGAUCCCCCACACUGGUACUGAGACACGGACCAGACUCCUACGGGAGGCAGCAGUGAGGAAUAUUGGUCAAUGGACGCAAGUCUGAACCAGCCAUGUCGCGUGCAGGAAGACGGCCUUAUGGGUUGUAAACUGCUUUUCUAUAGAGAGAAACCCCCGGUCGUGAUCGGGGCUGACGGUACUAUAGGAAUAAACACCGGCUAACUCCGUG
This 478-nucleotide ribosomal RNA is filed under the name uncultured bacterium. Its description in RNAcentral is "bacterial SSU rRNA". It matches the Rfam family "Bacterial small subunit ribosomal RNA", at positions 28 to 507 of the family's 1533-position model. The record is from RNAcentral.